RNAcentral lists this transfer RNA (68 nucleotides) under Polyipnus polli. RNAcentral describes it as "tRNA-Phe". It matches the Rfam family "tRNA". Rfam says of the family: Transfer RNA (tRNA) molecules are approximately 80 nucleotides in length. Their secondary structure includes four short double-helical elements and three loops (D, anti-codon, and T loops). Further hydrogen bonds mediate the characteristic L-shaped molecular structure. tRNAs have two regions of fundamental functional importance: the anti-codon, which is responsible for specific mRNA codon recognition, and the 3' end, to which the tRNAs corresponding amino acid is attached (by aminoacyl-tRNA synthetases). tRNAs cope with the degeneracy of the genetic code in two manners: having more than one tRNA (with a specific anti-codon) for a particular amino acid; and 'wobble' base-pairing, i.e. permitting non-standard base-pairing at the 3rd anti-codon position. Lineage: Eukaryota; Metazoa; Chordata; Actinopteri; Stomiiformes; Sternoptychidae. The record is from RNAcentral.
GUCGCUGUAGCUUACUUAAAGCGUAACACUGAAGAUGUUAAGAUGGGCCCUAGAAAGCCUCACCGACA